This 202-nucleotide unclassified non-coding RNA is filed under the name Hevea brasiliensis (rubber tree). Lineage: Eukaryota; Viridiplantae; Streptophyta; Magnoliopsida; Malpighiales; Euphorbiaceae. The record is from RNAcentral.
CGGAAGGAGAGCGUCACUACGCCCCUGGUGGCCGAGGAAGGGGUCGUGGCCGUGGAUCAAGGGGAGGAUACGGAUACAGUGGCAGCUCGAUGAGCAAUGUUGCAGCCCCAUCCAUUGAAGACCCUGGGCAGUUCCCGAUCUUAGGUGCGAAGUGAAUCUCUCUAUAAAUUUUCCCUUAGAAAACUGUGUUUUUGAUCUGGGG